GGAAAGACUCAUGAGAGAGAUGAAUUUCAACAACCUAAAAAUUGCUCUGUGGCUUCUCAGCCUCUGAAGACACGUAACGGAGCCAAGAUGAAGCCACCCGUCCUUACCUCUGUCUGCAGCUGGCUCAAGUGCCCUCAGUCUUACUAACCAUUGUUCCAGAACUGGGGUUGGAGCAACACAACCCCAUUCCCCACAUCCUCCCAUGGCCUCCGCUGAAGCUGCCCCGUCCUUUAGCAAACCGGAGGGUCACUCAUGGAGGGCAUGGAAAACUGAAAGAGAAACAACUCCUAAUCUUGUGCGGACUAGAAAGAAUCUGUUUUGGCCGUAGUGAGGAGGGGAGCUGCUGUAGAACUCGGGGGUUUAAACAGUGAUCUCAGUUCUGGCAGCCUCCGGGAUGACCUUGGAAAAGAUUUUUUAGUCUGUGUCAACUUGAUCGGAACCUCCAGACAAAACACGUGAGUUCAGCCAGACAACGUCUCCACAUUGGCCUGUUGGACACCGAUUAGGCAUAGUCUUCAUUGCACUGGGCUUUGGUUUUACUCCCUGUCUAUUGUGAAGGAAGCCCCUAUCCACCUUCACUCUCUCCUUUUCUAGCACCUGCAAAUAGAUUGUGGUAAGCAUUUGACUCAUAAUUUGUUUAUGGGUGCAAUCCACAUAGCACCCAAAAUGUGUGUGUGGUUUGGGGUUUGGAUGAAUUUGGACAUGACUGAAAAAUGACACUAAGGACUGGGAACCUGAAUGUGUCUACCAGGACAUACAAAUCUGAAAUGUUCUUAGGUGGGCUUGCUGCUUUCCAGUGAAACCCAGCACUCCGACUCAAGCUGUGCAGAGCUUCUUUUGUGUUUACAUGUGCCCCAUAUUUCCCCUAGGCACUGCCCACUGGGAUUAUUGAUUAAUCUGAGAUUGUCAUUAAUUAUUUGAUAUCUGUUAUGUAGGAGAGAGAAUAGGAUGGUCCAAGGCAAAUCUAAUUUGAGAAUAGCCAGGAGUGAGUGGUAAUAUCUGUACUUUUUCGUCUCCCACUGACUCCAGACAUUCAAAGUCAGCUUGGCAAUUAUCUAAGAAAGAGAGGAGUGACAUGUGGCUUCUCCCAAUGGGGGAUUUCAUUGUCCAUUUGGGUCCCAAUGUUUACUGUAUCUCAAAGAAACCAUGACAACCAUAUUUGUCUCUAUUUCCUC
Molecule: long non-coding RNA, 1175 nt
Filed under: Marmota monax (woodchuck)
Lineage: Eukaryota; Metazoa; Chordata; Mammalia; Rodentia; Sciuridae
Source: RNAcentral